CCUACGUGAGGCAGCAGUGGGGAAUAUUGCGCAAUGGGCGAAAGCCUGACGCAGCGACGCCGCGUGAGGGAUGAAGGUCUUCGGAUCGUAAACCUCUGUCAGCAGGGAAGAACGGUCACUGUGCUAAUCAGCAGUGAAUUGACGGUACCUGCAAAGGAAGCACCGGCUAACUCCGUGCCAGCAGCCGCGGUAAUACGGAGGGUGCGAGCGUUAAUCGGAAUUACUGGGCGUAAAGCGCUCGUAGGCGGUAUGUCAAGUCAAGGGUGAAAUCCCCGCGCUCAACGUGGGAACUGCCUUUGAAACGGGCAAACUGGAGUGUGUGAGAGGAUAGUGGAAUUCCAGGUGUAGGAGUGAAAUCCGGAGAUAUCUGGAGGAACAUCAGUGGCGAAGGCGACUAUCUGGCACAUAACUGACGCUGAGGAGCGAAAGCGUGGGUAGCAAACAGGAUUAGAUACCCGAGUAGUC
This 465-nucleotide ribosomal RNA is filed under the name uncultured bacterium. Its description in RNAcentral is "partial 16S ribosomal RNA". It matches the Rfam family "Bacterial small subunit ribosomal RNA", at positions 338 to 795 of the family's 1533-position model. The record is from RNAcentral.